RNAcentral lists this ribosomal RNA (492 nucleotides) under uncultured bacterium. Its description in RNAcentral is "partial 16S ribosomal RNA". It matches the Rfam family "Bacterial small subunit ribosomal RNA", at positions 28 to 523 of the family's 1533-position model. The record is from RNAcentral.
GAUGAACGCUAGCGGCAGGCCUAACACAUGCAAGUCGGGGGGUAGAAGCUUUCGGGCUUUGGGACCGGCGCACGGGUGCGUAACGCGUAUGCAAUCUGCCUUGUACUGAGGGAUAGCCCAGAGAAAUUUGGAUUAACACCUCAUAGUAUUUUAGUGUGGCAUCACAUUAUUAUUAAAGGUUACGGUACAAGAUGAGCAUGCGUCCCAUUAGCUAGUUGGUAUGGUAACGGCAUACCAAGGCUACGAUGGGUAGGGGUCCUGAGAGGGAGAUCCCCCACACUGGUACUGAGACACGGACCAGACUCCUACGGGAGGCAGCAGUGAGGAAUAUUGGUCAAUGGUCGCAAGACUGAACCAGCCAUGCCGCGUGCAGGAUGAAGCAUCUAUGGUGUGUAAACUGCUUUUGUACGGGAAGAAACACCGCUACGUGUAGCGGCUUGACGGUACCGUAAGAACAAGGAUCGGCUAACUCCGUGCCAGCCGCCGCCGUAA